AUAUAAAAAUGGAAUAUUGCGCAAAAAGUUUUGAUUCGAAUAUAAAAGAUGCUAACUUCAGCUCGUAUCUCAAUUCUGCAACGUUCUCUUCCAUUUUAAAAAUGAGGGCUUUCUAUCUCAAAGUGAUAUUUACUGUGGUGUUGUUUUUCUUUUCUGUGAGUGGUUCACCGGUGAAUUCUACAACUAUAGCUAUACCAGAAUUUGACGAACUGGAAGUCAAGAAUAGUGUUAGUUAUAGUAUUGUGAUUGUUCCUUGCAGAAGAGGAUUUCGAAAGAUUCGCAACAAGUGCCGACCUGUGUUUUCACCAAUUGGUGAUAAUGAUGACAGCAAUGUUUUGUCAAUGUUGACGUUAUGAAACAAUGUACUUUUCCAGAUGUCUCAUUCUUGAUUUGAAGAGUUUAUAUUGCUUUUUUUAAUAAAACUGAAUUUUUCCCGUUUAGCAUGCAAAGAGACACAACAUUCUUUACUUGUCGUCAAUCAAGUCGAUAUCAUCAGUAGAUGAUUGUACCUAUCUGAAAUAAUAAAAUUUUUUUAUAUUCCACAGGGAUUGACUAGUAAUUACACAGGCCAACAAAAUAAAUGUUUUUGAAAACUU
Long non-coding RNA from Leptinotarsa decemlineata (Colorado potato beetle), 596 nucleotides. RefSeq lists it as uncharacterized. Lineage: Eukaryota; Metazoa; Arthropoda; Insecta; Coleoptera; Chrysomelidae. The record is from RefSeq and is a predicted model, not a curated record.